Molecule: ribosomal RNA, 254 nt
Filed under: uncultured bacterium
Lineage: Bacteria
Description: partial 16S ribosomal RNA
Rfam family: Bacterial small subunit ribosomal RNA
Source: RNAcentral
UACGGGGGGGGCAAGCGUUGUUCGGAUUUACUGGGCGUAAAGGGAGUGUAGGCGGUUGGUCAAGUCGGAUGUGAAAGCUUCACCACUCAACGGGAAGACGUCAUCCGAAACUGGUCGGCUAGAGUAGGGUAGAGGCAAGCGGAAUUCCUGGUGUAGCGGUGGAAUGUGUAGAUAUCAGGAAGAACAUCGGUGGCGAAGGCGGCUUGCUGGGCCCUUACUGACGCUGAGACUCGAAAGCGUGGGGAGCAAACGGG